Molecule: non-coding RNA, 500 nt
Organism: Microcebus murinus (gray mouse lemur)
Lineage: Eukaryota; Metazoa; Chordata; Mammalia; Primates; Cheirogaleidae
Source: RefSeq, a predicted model, not a curated record
CAUCUAUUUUCAUCACCUUUGGCCCAUCUGUCACCCAACCUUCAUAAUCCACUUUUCUUCCCUCCAUGACUUCACUAAAUAUGUGGCUGCUGUCCCCCAGAUAAGCCAUCUCAGGGCCUCUGAAACUGAAUCUCCUAACAUUCCUCCCUCUCAGUUGACUCUUAGAUGUGGAAUGUUGCAAAUGCAUCUAUUUAAGUGGGAUACUGGAUCUAUGCUGCAUAGAAAAUCUGUGAUCAAACAGAAUAGACUCUGUCUUUAAUCCAUUAUCCUCAUAGUUAAGAAUUACUAGCCUUUUACAUGGAUGUAGUCAAGUGGAGAGACCCACUGAUGGUAUAAGGAUCCCACCAGGAGAGAAGGUGCCUGACUGGUGCAGAAGACAAGAGGCCCCAUCCGGCUGGAAUAGUCCGAUCUUCUCUCUCCUGUUCAAGGAGUGUACUAGACAGCUAAGCCUUCCACCUUGGUGUUUUUGACUCAAUCCAGGAGAAUUUAUAUUCAACUUA